RNAcentral lists this ribosomal RNA (468 nucleotides) under uncultured bacterium. Its description in RNAcentral is "partial 16S ribosomal RNA". It matches the Rfam family "Bacterial small subunit ribosomal RNA", at positions 28 to 507 of the family's 1533-position model. The record is from RNAcentral.
GACGAACGCUGGCGGCGUGCUUAACACAUGCAAGUCGAACGGAAAGGCCCUGCUUUUGUGGGGUGCUCGAGUGGCGAACGGGUGAGUAACACGUGAGUAACCUGCCCUUGACUUUGGGAUAACUUCAGGAAACUGGGGCUAAUACCGGAUAGGAGCUCCUGCUGCAUGGUGGGGGUUGGAAAGUUUCGGCGGUUGGGGAUGGACUCGCGGCUUAUCAGCUUGUUGGUGGGGUAGUGGCUUACCAAGGCUUUGACGGGUAGCCGGCCUGAUAGGGUGACCGGCCACAUGGGGACUGGGAUACGGCACAGACUCCUACGGGAGGCAGCAGUGGGGAAUAUUGCACAAUGGGCGGAAGCCUGAUGCAGCAACGCCGCGUGCGGGAUGACGGCCUUCGGGUUGUAAACCGCUUUCGCCUGUGACGAAGCGUGAGUGACGGUAAUGGGUAAAGAAGCACCGGCUAACUACGUG